GAGCAUUACUUAAACAUUUUAAAUACAUCUUUUGAGGGAACACAUAUUGAAGUCAUCUUUGCCUUCUAUUGGAGUGGACCCUGAAAUAAAUAAGGGGUAGAAUACUUGUUGCUGUGUUGUACCUGGGGAUACAGAGACUGAAUCAUGUGGCUGGUGAAUAUUUCCUCUUGAUGUGCUGCUUGAAUAUAUAAAGAUACCAAAUUGAAAGUUACUUAUAUUCAAAGAGUAUUCUCUUGCUUGUCCUUUAAGUGCCUCACCUUUUCAUUUAUCCUCAAUAUAUUUAAGACAUUCUAUCAAUUUCCAACUAUUGUUAUGAAAUAACUGUAUCAAACUGUAGCUGGAUAUUCUAGUCUUAUCUUUUAGUUUGUCCUCUGUCUUUGGGGCUAAUAGCUCAGUAUCUUAGAAAUUCAGCAGCACAUACAUGGCAUAAACAGCCUUCUUAUGUCUUACACUGGAAGAGAUUGUUUUGAACUUUUUAUUACAAAAUAAAAAUCCAAUUGACUCUUCUUAAUGUACUAACGUGUUUACAAACUUGGGGGCUAUUUAGAAAGUGAUAUAAAUUCUUUCACAUGAUCUGAAUAUUGGUACAAAUGACGUUCAGAACAUUCCCUAUUAUAAAGACCUACAGUUUGUACAAGUAGAAUCUUUCCAUUAAACAGUCUCAGUUUCCUUAAAGUUGUUUUCUUUUCCUUUUCUUAAGUUCAGCCUUUAAUUUGUUUAUUUCAAUUUUCUUUUUCAGGAAAUAUAACCAAGAAGAGUUCUGAGAGAAUAUCCUCAUUUGUCCUUCUGGGAUUAAACAAGAAUACUGUAUUUUGCAUUCAGUGGUGUCUCAAAAAUAAUGUUCUUCAUGUUGACUCAUAUAUUGUAAGUCCAAUAUAUCUGUAGUUUUAUUAAUAUUUCUUACCUUGAAUUGCAAACUCAUUACACAACAAGGAUGUGAUUUCUGCCAAUAAGCUGUAAUUUCUAGUGCAGAACAAAGACACACUAAGCAUUUAAUGAG
This 1000-nucleotide long non-coding RNA is filed under the name Bos indicus x Bos taurus (hybrid cattle). RNAcentral describes it as "lncRNA (ENSBIXG00000007862.1)". Lineage: Eukaryota; Metazoa; Chordata; Mammalia; Artiodactyla; Bovidae. The record is from RNAcentral.